UGACUACUUUAGCUUGCUAGAGUAGAAGGAGUUGCGAACGGGUGAGUAACGCGUAGGUAACCUGCCUACUAGCGGGGGAUAACUAUUGGAAACGAUAGCUAAUACCGCAUAACAGUGUUUAACACAUGUUAGAUGCUUGAAAGAUGCAAAUGCAUCACUAGUAGAUGGACCUGCGUUGUAUUAGCUAGUUGGUGGGGUAACGGCCUACCAAGGCGACGAUACAUAGCCGACCUGAGAGGGUGAUCGGCCACACUGGGACUGAGACACGGCCCAGACUCCUACGGGAGGCAGCAGUAGGGAAUCUUCGGCAAUGGGGGCAACCCUGACCGAGCAACGCCGCGUGAGUGAAGAAGGUUUUCGGAUCGUAAAGCUCUGUUGUAAGAGAAGAACGUGUGUGAGAGUGGAAAGUUCACACAGUGACGGUAACUUACCAGAAAGGGACGGCUAACUACGUGCCAGCAGCCGCGGUAAUACGUAGGUCCCGAGCGUUGUCCGGAUUUAUUGGGCGUAAAGCGGGCGCAGGCGGUUUAAUAAGUCUGAAGUUAAAGGCAGUGGCUUAACCAUUGUUCGCUUUGGAAACUGUUAAACUUGAGUGCAGAAGGGGAGAGUGGAAUUCCAUGUGUAGCGGUGAAAUGCGUAGAUAUAUGGAGGAACACCGGUGGCGAAAGCGGCUCUCUGGUCUGUAACUGACGCUGAGGCUCGAAAGCGUGGGGAGCAAACAGGAUUAGAUACCCUGGUAGUCCACGCCGUAAACGAUGAGUGCUAGGUGUUAGGCCCUUUCCGGGGCUUAGUGCCGCAGCU
Molecule: ribosomal RNA, 801 nt
Filed under: uncultured bacterium
Lineage: Bacteria
Description: SSU rRNA
Rfam family: Bacterial small subunit ribosomal RNA
Source: RNAcentral